CAGAGAAUAGUUUAGUUUAGAAUCCUGGCUUUGGGAGCCAGGGGUGGGGGUUAGAAUCCCCUUUCUCUGA
RNAcentral lists this transfer RNA (70 nucleotides) under Oryzias latipes (Japanese medaka). RNAcentral's name for it is "tRNA-Pro". It matches the Rfam family "tRNA". Rfam says of the family: Transfer RNA (tRNA) molecules are approximately 80 nucleotides in length. Their secondary structure includes four short double-helical elements and three loops (D, anti-codon, and T loops). Further hydrogen bonds mediate the characteristic L-shaped molecular structure. tRNAs have two regions of fundamental functional importance: the anti-codon, which is responsible for specific mRNA codon recognition, and the 3' end, to which the tRNAs corresponding amino acid is attached (by aminoacyl-tRNA synthetases). tRNAs cope with the degeneracy of the genetic code in two manners: having more than one tRNA (with a specific anti-codon) for a particular amino acid; and 'wobble' base-pairing, i.e. permitting non-standard base-pairing at the 3rd anti-codon position. Lineage: Eukaryota; Metazoa; Chordata; Actinopteri; Beloniformes; Adrianichthyidae. The record is from RNAcentral.